UCUUGCAUAUCAAAAAAGCGGAGGAAAAGAAACCAACCGGGAUUGCCUUAGUAACGGCGAGUGAAGCGGCAAAAGCUCAAAUUUGAAAUCUGGCGUCUUCGACGUCCGAGUUGUAAUUUGAAGAAGGCGACUUUGUAGCUGGUCCUUGUCUAUGUUCCUUGGAACAGGACGUCAUAGAGGGUGAGAAUCCCGUGUGGCGAGGAUCCCAGUUAUUUGUAAAGUGCUUUCGACGAGUCGAGUUGUUUGGGAAUGCAGCUCUAAGUGGGUGGUAAAUUCCAUCUAAAGCUAAAUAUUGGCGAGAGACCGAUAGCGAACAAGUACAGUGAUGGAAAGAUGAAAAGAACUUUGAAAAGAGAGUGAAAAAGUACGUGAAAUUGUUGAAAGGGAAGGGCAUUUGAUCAGACAUGGCGUUUGCUUCGGCUUUCGCUGGGCCAGCAUCAGUUUUAGCGGUUGGAUAAAUCCUCGGGAAUGUGGCUCUGCUUCGGUAGAGUGUUAUAGCCCGUGGGAAUACAGCCAGCUGGGACUGAGGAUUGCGACUUUUGUCAAGGAUGCUGGCGUAAUGGUUAAAUGCCGCCCGUCUUGAA
This 584-nucleotide ribosomal RNA is filed under the name Kluyveromyces marxianus. RNAcentral's name for it is "partial large subunit ribosomal RNA". It matches the Rfam family "Eukaryotic large subunit ribosomal RNA", at positions 32 to 658 of the family's 3401-position model. Lineage: Eukaryota; Fungi; Ascomycota; Saccharomycetes; Saccharomycetales; Saccharomycetaceae. RNAcentral also lists the same sequence under 1 other name. The record is from RNAcentral.